Molecule: non-coding RNA, 72 nt
Organism: Ornithorhynchus anatinus (platypus)
Lineage: Eukaryota; Metazoa; Chordata; Mammalia; Monotremata; Ornithorhynchidae
Source: Rfam
AGCAGCGUGGCUCAGUGGAAAGAGCACGGGCUUGGGAGUCCGUGGUCAUGGGUUCAAAUCCCAGCUCUGCCA